CCCUUAGAUGUUCUGGGCAGCACGCGCGCUACAAUGGUCUUCGCAAACGGAUGCAUUCUCGAAGGAGAAUGCCAAUCUUGGAAUCUAUGCCUUGGUCGGGACAGUUGCUUGCAAUUUUUCGACUCGAACCAGGAAUUCCUUGUAAUCGUGAUUCAUCACAUCACGAUGAAUACGUCCCUGCCCUUUGUACACACCGCCCGUCGCUCCUACCGAUCGAAGAGUUAGGUGAAUUGUUUUGAUCGAUAAGAUUUGACUAUGGUCAACUCUCGUUGUGAAAUUCUGUGAAUCUGACUGUUUAGAGGAAGGAAAAGACGUAACA
Molecule: ribosomal RNA, 319 nt
Filed under: uncultured eukaryote
Lineage: Eukaryota
Description: partial 18S ribosomal RNA
Rfam family: Eukaryotic small subunit ribosomal RNA
Source: RNAcentral